ACUCCAUUUCAGUUCAGUUCAUUCUUUGUCCCAAAGCGCAAUUUGUAUUCAGCAGGAAUAUGAAGAAUAUACAAAACAAACCACACAACAGUUAACAGAAGUGUGAAGAGAACAGGAAGAGGAAACUGAAGGCUGAGGCAGGGUGAGAGGUGGAGCUGUGACUCAUCAGAAAAACCAACUCACCUGAGUUGUUCUCUGUCAACUCUUUGGACUGUUUGAAGAAACUACUGACUUCAGAUCAGAAGAUGAGUGAUUUGGAGGAAGAGGAGGACGGAGCAGAGUCUGUAGUAUCUGGCUGUCAGUCU
Long non-coding RNA from Perca flavescens (yellow perch), 305 nucleotides. RefSeq lists it as uncharacterized. The record is from RefSeq and is a predicted model, not a curated record. Lineage: Eukaryota; Metazoa; Chordata; Actinopteri; Perciformes; Percidae. The transcript has 3 exons.